UGCUCAAGAAUGAUAUUGACUUAUAAUUUUCUUCUCCUCUUUCAUUGUCAUCAAAGUUUGAUAUCAGGCUUUUGGCUUUUGCUGGACUCCUAAGAUGUGUUGGGAAGAGCUGUGUCUUUCUUCUCUGAGACAGUGUGGUAAGUUUCAUCUUGUUUCUCCCUCAAAUGUUCAGUAGAAUUUACCAUUGAAGUUCUUUGAGCCUGGAGUUUUCUAUGUGAAAAGGCCUUUAUUUACAGAGGCAAUUUUAAAAAGUGAUGGAGGGCUAUUUACAUGUUCUAUUUAUUUUGUGUCAGUUCUAGUUUUAUAUUCUAUGGAGUUUAUCUGUUUUGUCUAAGUUAUUAAAUUUCAAGCACAGUGAGGUUCACAGUAGUACAUACCCCCUCAAUGUACAAUGUCUUUUUUUUCCCUCAUUCCUGAUACUAAUAUUUCAUGUUUACUUUUCGUUCGUCUUUGCUCAAUGGUAGGUGUUACAGUUUUCUAUUCAUGCAUAGCACAUUGCCCCAAAAUUGAGUAACAUAAAACAAUAGUGAUUAUUUCACUUUCCCAUAGGUUGGCUGGUUACUUCCUCGUCUGGUUCCACCUGGGUCCCCCACAUGGCUGUCUUCAGCAGGAGGGCCUGCAGGACUGGACAUGGGCAUUAGCCUCACUCACAUCUUCAGCACACGACACCAGCUCUCCACGGAGGACCCCUCCAUUCUCAGUCACAUGGCCGCUCCUUCUCCUGCGGAAACAAAAAUGCAGCCAAAGGAACCCGAUUGUCAUUGACGGAAGAAAAAGAGCUGCAAGCCAAAACAUGCAAAACCAGCCUCUCAUUGAGGAGAAAGUGAAAAAUCCAGAAUGAGCUGGAAGGGGAGGGCCGAGAACUCGCAGGAGCCCUUGUGUGAAUCAGAAGCUCUCCUUAGCCUGGUGCCUCUGCCCACAGCCCCGUGCCGCCCACAGGAGCCACCACCCUGCACCUGGGCCGGGUGAUGGCAUCCCCGUCAGACCUCAGCCGCUCUACCGUCUGGGCUCCUGGCCUCUGCCCACCUGCCUGAGCCUGAAGCUGGUUCUCGUAUCAGCGUGCCCAUCUAGCGUAGCCUGAGCCCUUCCUCCCUGCCAAGCCCUCCAGUUUGGAAGCAGAGGCAGGAGGGCCGGGUGGGGGUGGGGGGGGGGGAUCUUGUGGUUGGUUAACUGCAGGGUGCUGCUGUGGCCUCUGUCACACAGUCCCCGACAGACAUGGAGUGCAACAUACGUACAGAUGGCCCCUCUGGGGACUGAGCCGUCUCAGGAACGGUAAGAAUUUCUCUAUGCAGGUUAGAGGGCGGUCUGAGGACCGAGAACUUUGUAAAAGUUUCUUCCAUGAAUGACCUUUAUCUUGCCCCAAGAUGCAGCCCCGGGGCCCAGGUUCUGAAAGGGAACCACCCCCACCCCCCACCCUCCACCCUCCACCCAGCCCAGUCUAACGUAUGCAUGCGUUUUGCCUUGCAUUCGAAUCAAAACAGAUAAAAUUACCCAAAGUGAAAUUCACAGACAAGAAAUACUUUAAUUAAAUAUUGUGUAAAAUGAACAUUUUUAUACAGUUAAAUAUCUGAAAAAAUGUACAGAUAAAACAAUCUUAUUGUAGGGUCUUUAACAGUAAAAUCUACCAUUUAGUGAAGCGCUCAAUUUUGAGACAAUGAAGCGAUGAGGGGCAUUGACUAAUUAAUCUAAAACACAAACCGAGUGCAGGGAUGAGGAAACUUGCAAACGUUCUCAACAUGUACACGUGAGCUUGUUUUUUUAGAUCAAACCCUUACUUAUACAAAAUAAAACGGAGGCAAUUUAGUUCCAAAGUGACUUCUCAGGCUUUCCCACGUAGCUAAGCCUUAGCGGUCAUGGGGCCGGACCGCGACCCGCUGACCACCGGGACAUUCUGCUGUUUUAUUUAGUCCCUCGAAUGAACACUUUCCUAAGUUGUGCAUGGUUUUGUUCUUUUGUCAAGAAAGUUGUUUUUUAAUGUCCCUCCUUUUUGUUUUACAUCUGAUUUCUGCUGCAAUUCGCGAAACGUCUGCUGUGCUGUGUCUGUGAGGCGUUUAACACAAAGGGAAAGACUGACCCUCCUGGUCUCACUGUGGGUUUGGCACGAACAGGCACAGUAUCUGAAGGAGGUCAUUCCGGUUUUAAAAAGUACAGACAGCGCUGCAGGGGUCCGACCACAAAAAAGGUGUCGUUUCAAAAAAAGUUAAAAACCAGCAGUGAUUUUUGGUUCCCCCGAAACCUCUCUGGAUCCUAGGUGGGCCCCAGGGAGACACGGAACGCAGCAGAAUCAGACGCAGAAUGGAGCGACACAUGGAACGUCAGGUUUGUGCUUUUGUUUGUGUGUGUGUGUGUGUGUGUGUGUGUUUACACCAUAAAUCUCCAAAUGAAAUAUCGAUUAACGAUUGUGUUGUAAGCCUGUGAUAAAAUAGCACAAAGGUUCUUUAAAGAAGUCCACUUUUAAGGCAUCAGAGAAGUUAAUGUGGCAAACAUUUUAAUUAAAACAUCAGAAGUAAAUUUUAUUUUAAACUUUAGGCCUCUGAAUUUUUCCAGUAAACACAGUUCAGCUAUGUGGCAAAGUCAUGGGUGGCAGCUAAAAUGAUUUUUUUUUUUUUUUUUUUUUUUUUUUUACAUUCUACAGAAAAAUAAAAUAAGGACACAGCCCCAAACGGUGUCACCUCUUUGCGGCUGUUCCACAUGCACGGAAUCUACUAGGAUUUGUCACAGCCGAGUGGCACCGUUUUGUUUUGACUAUACAACGAACUUUUUUUUUUUCAAAAGUAUUUGUUCAGAUAACUUAA
Molecule: long non-coding RNA, 2795 nt
Filed under: Canis lupus familiaris (dog)
Lineage: Eukaryota; Metazoa; Chordata; Mammalia; Carnivora; Canidae
Description: lncRNA (ENSCAFG00000055291.1)
Source: RNAcentral